RNAcentral lists this unclassified non-coding RNA (5612 nucleotides) under Neodiprion pinetum (white pine sawfly). Its description in RNAcentral is "actin-related protein 2-like, transcript variant X1". The record is from RNAcentral. Lineage: Eukaryota; Metazoa; Arthropoda; Insecta; Hymenoptera; Diprionidae.
GGAGUGUCUCGAAUAUUUUCUACGGGUCGGCAUACCUGUCAAACUUAUCUUUUAUAUUUCAUUAUUUUCGAAAUAUAAUCAUGGAUCCAGCUGUCUUCCCCGAGGAAAUAUGGAUCAAAAUUCUUUUAUACUGUGAUGUGCCUGACAUUAUUGCCUUCGGGAGCACCUGUAAAUACCUCAGGAAAACAUCGGACACCGAUUACUUGUGGAAAAUCAAAUGGCUGCAGCUCAUAUCCAAAGUACAAUUCAAAUUUCCUGACAUGAAAUGUCUCCAGUUACUAAGCGUUAGUUUUAAGGCGAUGUGCUACCGACUUCACAUGGUAGUGACGCUGGGAGAGAGCGUUCCAUUCCCUAAGUGCUACCACUGCAGUGGUUACACGUGUCAAAGGAACUGCGUCGAAGGUUCGAGUUCAAAGGUGGUCAUCGAGAUCGGGAACAAAUACACGUGGGUCAUAACGCCUCAUUUCGGUCUAAGACGGCAUUUCUCUAUGUUUGGCAUACCGAAAUGCAACACGGCCAACGCAGCGGUGCAAACACAGGCACCAAGCAUAGCGAGCAGUAGCAGCAGGUUAAAAACUGAUGCAAAAUCAAUUGCCAAAAAGCUGAAACUGGUGAGGCUAUCCGAGCUAGCAACGGCAAAAAUUCCACGACCCAGUGGACCGUUUUGCGUAUUUUGCAAUCCGGUUAAAUUGUAUCGCGAGAAAAAACGCCUCGCAUCGCACCAGAAUGAUGUACAAAAAUACUCUAGUACAAAUCCUAUUUAUCAAAAAUUAUUGAAUGGAUAUUGUGCAGACACCAUUGAGGUUCUCGGAAUUCCUAACGUUGAUGUUGUUAGUCCGGCGGAAGCCCUCUUAAGCGAUGGAACUUUUUCGGUGCUAAAGACUUUCGUCGAUCACUUGUUUCACCAGAUGGGUUUAACGGCGACACUGAGAAAGCCAAACGCUGUACUUAUGUUCUGCGAACCACUCGCCAUGCAUCCAUUACUCAGAAAACAGCUACUUCAUUACUUAUUUCAAGAGGUCAAAGUUGCUAGGGUAUGUUUAGUUCCAAAACCCUUGGCUGCUUGCGCAAUGCUCGAUGUGGAGACUUGCGUUGUAGUAGAUAGCGGUGCUCUGAGUACAACAGUUGCUGUUGUCAUCGGAGGAAGGGUGAUGCCUGAUCGGUGGCGUCUAUUGCCUGUCGGUGGAUAUCACGUAGCCCAUCAUUUGAAACAAGCGAUGCAUUGGCAGCCAAAAGAAUACCAUCAGAUUCCUGUAUCUUAUUUGGACACUAUGGCUGUCAAGGAGAGAUGCAGAUUGAGCUACAACAUUGAAAAUGAAGAACGGAAAAGAGGGCCAACCAGAAGAGAACACAUCAAUCUUAGGGUUGAUAGUUAUGCAGAUUACAAACAGUUUUGGAGAGUAUCGCUGGGUUCUGAGCUUUACAUCGCACCUGAGAUGAUGUACGUUAGCCUUGGGCUCCCCGAAGUGAUCAAGGAAGUGACUAUGGGCCUUUCGGAAGAACUGACCCAGGAUUGUCUAUCCCAUAUUCUGUUGACCGGAGGUAACACUGAUUUGGCGGGAUUUGACCUCAGGCUAUCUAAAGAUUUGCGCGAAUUACUUCCGGAGCACAGUCCAAUUUUGGAGGUCAGAAGCUGCCCAGGAACUCACAGCUGGAAUGUGGCUAUGGGAUCAACUUACGUACCUUUGGCCGUACAUCCUGACAAAACGCCACCAGAAUAUGUGGAAGGGAAUCCAUUCUGGUUAUCGCGGGAAGAGUACGUCUUAUUUGGAUGUGAAUCGCUUGAAUAGUAACAAAGUAGCAAAGUGGGAGAUAGAUAUCAAUGACGAAUGAUUCAAGUCAUGAAUACUAGUACCUUAGCAAUGAUUAUGCAAAUUAGCAAACCAGUACAUAUGUCAAGACGUAAUAUCAGGAAGAGAAAUGUUACCAGUGUCAAGUAUAUUCUAUUCCUAUAUUGUCUAUCAACUCGCAAGCUUCCCCGCUCAUGAUACCUGCAGGAACUUCAGAAUUUCUUAUUUCACCAGAUUCUGAAUUCGAGGUUCAACUAAAGAUUGAUAAAAUUACAACUAGAUGAAAUUGAGAAUCUAAUCUGAUUGAAAUGUGGAAUGAAUGGUUUCACUGCCUUAUUUCACUAUGCUAAAUUUAUUAUUUAUGUAUCUCUGGCAAGUGUUCAACACGCUAUUACAUGACACAAGACUGGGAGAUGUUAUACAGAUGUCAAAAAUUUAGCAAUGAAAAUCUUUAAAACUUUUACUACUUGGUAAAGUUUUCUACGCGCAAUAAAUAGUUUCAUUUUAAUAUGUUACUGCAUCUCUUAUCUCUCCGCUAUAUUGUUUCUUUAAUUCACAUUGAAGAAUGAUAUGGAAAAAGGAAAGUAUGAUUAAAACAACUAGUAUCAUUUCAUUUUGCGCGUUAAAUGAAUUUUAAACUUGCAAUAGUAUUCCGGAGAAUGUCAUUUGUUAUUUCGUAAAUUUAUAUUGGAUUUUUUGCCAAAAAAAAAACAAACAAACAAAAAAGCAACACAAUACGUGUAUGUGUGUGUGUAUAUAUAUAUAUAUAUAUACAUAAAUGUAUGUAUGUAUGUAGAGAUUUUUCUAGUCACCAUAAACCUACCUAGAACAUUAAGAAGAGAGUAUACUUCCAAAAUAGUAAUAUAUACGUAUACAUAUGAUAUAUAUGUAUUGAGUAAUAAUUAGUAAUGAUAAUUAACUGAGAAAAAGUAAUAAUAUAUUAAACUCAUGAGUCUCUCGUUUAUAGAUUUAUACAAAGUAAGAACAAAGAAGUAAUUGUUAUAAUAAUUUAUACGUCAAGUUUCAUAAUAUUUAUUAAUAAUGACUAUACCUAAUAAUGCUGCUUAUGAUGAGGUAUAAAAUAUAAUUAAUAUUAGUUCACAGCAACGAGCUCAAUGAACAUAUUUUGUUACAUAUUAUAGCAGAUUUUUAUCACCUUACUAUAUAAUUCCAUCAAUACAAAAUAUUUUCGAUAAGAUAUUGUACAAUUUAAUGAUAAGUUUAUUGAAUUUUACUAGCACAAUGUUUUUUUUUUUUUUUUUUAUUAUUUACCAUUCUUUUUCUUCUCUUCAGGUAGUUCCUCAAACGACUAAAACCUUGAAGGAACUCACAGCACUAAAGCUGCAUUUCUUUUCUAUAAUGUGUAACAAGUUCAUCAUUCCAGUUAUAAUUUCUUCAAUAUCGAUAUCUUAAAAUAUUUCAUUACCGCAACGAACGAGAAUUCGUACUCGGUGAUUCAGUCUCUGUAUUUAUUUUAAGGCUGUACAUUUGGUAACUUGUUGUGAUUUCCUUCAUAGAUUAUUCAUAAUGUUAAUGUUCUCAACAUUCAAAUUUGUAUUAUAAUCAGUGUUCUGCUACAGAUAUGAACAAAGGAUAAUAUACCAACAUCAAUAUAGAAUCAGCUCUAUCUAUUUAAGAAAACACAGUUUCACACCUGAAUUCUAACAAUCUAAAAUGUCAGUGAAAAUGGAUGAAAAGAAGAAAAAUUGUUAAAUAAUUAUUCAUUUCCCAUCAGUUUUUACAAAAUAUUUAUGUAUAAUCCUGUAAUUAUUGUUGCUUGGCACAAGUUUUUAUCGGAUGGAAAAAUAAAUAAAUAAGUACAUGUGAGUGAAAGGGAUAUGUUAUGAAAUUACAUCGACGCAUUUAAGCUUGUUGUACGCUCAAGCUUUUAUAAUUUUAACAUUUAAUUUUGGUAAAUUAUGUAAAUAACAAGAGAAACACAUUUAUUCAGUAAUUUAUUUCAUCACACUUUACAUCAAGAAGUCUCGUUAUAUUAUAGAUAAAAUAAAAUACAACGGCAUGCGUACGAUACACAUAUACAUAUAUGUAUAUUUAUGUUUACUCAUACGCACAUGUAUAUGUUUAUGCAUAUAUAUACAUAUAUAUGUAUACGCACACAAUAUUUACACACGCGCACACAAAUGCCUGUGUUUCUAUCGAUGUAUACUAUUUACGACUGUAUAUUUUGUGAAUAAAUUUUUAUUUUUUUUAUUUUUUCUGUCCCAAGAAUAGAAAGCCAAUAAAAAAAAAUAGUUUUAUAAAACUUUUUUUUCUAAUCGUUCUAUAUUUUAUCAACUCUCGUUUCCGCUUUAUACUCUUAAGAAUUAUUUCUUCAUCGUUCAGUCCAAAAUAUUAGCGCUUUUUAAUUUGUUCAUACUAAUUGAAUAGUAGCAAUAGAAUUAAUGAAAAUUACAGAUUCGAAUUGUUACAAAUCUGACAAAUAAGUAAAUAAUGAAUUGCAUACUCGUUAGAUAAACUGUAAAAACCUUUGGCUAAAUGUGGUAAUAAUUAUUCAUAUCAUUUGAAAAGAAACAUUAUUAUACAUGGUAAUAAUAGAAGAUAUAUUUUUUACUCUAUGAUCUGUGACGUGCAGGUUUAUGACCCAUGAUAAUCACUCUUGCAAUUUAAAUUUACUCCGAUGAUAAAAAAUACGACCGGAAUACAAGAGCGAGGCAAAAGCCUGUUGGAGAUCAUAAAGGCAAGGUACGUACAUCGUGAUCGACAAAUGACUUUAUGCAAAUCACUCAAUUAGUACAAUCUUAUCCUAUGUUACUAACAGUUAAUCGUUUAUUUUACUUACUUUAAUUUUUUUUUUUUUGGUAUCAGGUCAAACCACCCAAGCCACUGAACGUCAAUCUUUGCUAAACAUGCCGUAUCGAUAGACCCGUGUGUUUAUAAACUGUUACACUUGAUCGCUAUGACUUGAGGCCAUAGUUGCAUUUUAAAAAUUUGCAACGGAACGAAAAAACUACAUGCGAAUCUCCGCGAAAAUGUAUUAUUUUUCUUAAUUUACUUGGGUAUUUCAAGUUCGAUAAAAUUAAUGAAAAUAAUGGACUCAAUGGAUAUACAUAAAUAUAAGUAUUACGUUUUAAUUUGAUAGAAAAUGUGAACGGUUAAGAAUCUGUACAAAAAUGACGUUUCAAAGAUUCUGUCAUAUUUAAAUUCAAGAAGCAUGUAUGCUAGAACUAGAAAUUUGAAGUACAAACAACGUAUUUUAUGACAAGUUCGCUAUUAGAAAUGUAUGUAUCAAAAAAUCUAACAUGGGAAAGUUUGGUUCUCUCGAAUAAGUAAUAAAUAAAUACUUUAAGAUAUAUUUGUCUUAUUUUGGCAUUGUCAUGUCUCAGGAUGCUUUGUUUUCGUUUUAAUACGAAUUUCAAUUAAUCGCACUUUUGCAAGAACUUUCGAGUACGAUGAAGUAAUUAAACGGACGAUGAUUUACAUGUAACAUGUUUGGACGUGGACUUUGGAGUAUUAAAUUUUAUUCUAUUUCCAACAGCUAUUAAAUGUAUGAACGUAUGUAUGUUCGUGUAUAUUACAAAUUAGAAUAUAUAAAAUAUACCCUAAGUUUUGAAGAAUAUUUUGUUUUAAUUUCUACCUGCAUAUUUGUGAUGCAAAUUUGGCUCACAAUUGUUUUUGUAAAAUCUUAUAUAUUAUAUAUGUAAUAGCGUUUCAAAACUAUUGAAAAUCGCAGUGGUAUCAAACAACGACUAUUUAUUCUUGUUAGUAAAACUUUAUGAAUUUAUAUCGAUACUUUGACUAAUUAUACUCUGACUUUUUAACAAUAAUCACUGUAAAAUAGUACGUGUAUGGGAUAACUUCUGU